GAUGAACGCUGACAGAAUGCUUAACACAUGCAAGUCUACUUGAAUUUGGGUUUUUUUACUUCGAUUUGGGUGGCGGACGGGUGAGUAACGCGUAAAGAACUUGCCUCACAGUUAGGGACAACAUUUGGAAACGAAUGCUAAUACCUGAUAUUAUGAAUAUAUGGCAUCAUAUAAUUAUGAAAGCUAUAAGCGCUGUGAGAGAGCUUUGCGUCCCAUUAGCUAGUUGGAGAGGUAACGGCUCACCAAGGCGAUGAUGGGUAGCCGGCCUGAGAGGGUGAACGGCCACAAGGGGACUGAGACACGGCCCUUACUCCUACGGGAGGCAGCAGUGGGGAAUAUUGGACAAUGGACCAAGAGUCUGAUCCAGCAAUUCUGUGUGCACGAUGACGUUUUUCGGAAUGUAAAGUGCUUUCAGUUGGGAAGAAAAAAAUGACGGUACCAACAGAAGAAGUGACGGCUAAAUACGUG
Molecule: ribosomal RNA, 468 nt
Filed under: uncultured bacterium
Lineage: Bacteria
Description: partial 16S ribosomal RNA
Rfam family: Bacterial small subunit ribosomal RNA
Source: RNAcentral